GGGACAGCCGCGCUCCUCGGGGCCGCUGCCGCUCACGGCUGCCCCCGCAGAGCUCCCCGGAGGGCACCGCCCCACGGCUCUUGCGGGGAGAAGCGGGCCUGCUGAAGAAUCCCAGAACCACCGAGUCUGGAAGAGACCUGCACACACGAUGUGUGGCUCCCGGUGCCUUUGCCAGGUCAUGCCAAUCCCGAGAGGCGAUGCCCAAGAGGUCUGGAAAAGAAGAUGCUGAAUAAGUCACUGGGGUGUUAACCUGACACAGACAGCUCCAGCAAACCUUGGCAGCCCUUCUGUGCACGGUGCAACUGGAAGUGUCUGAAACAGCUGGCAUGAGCUGACAGCUUCACUUCUGGGGUUUUUGUUGUGUUUCCCCUUUGUUGACUGUCCUCAGAGAUACAGCAGAGAAAAGACAAAUCCUGCUCAUCACUGCAACCCCACAUCAGAGAGCUCUGCAGGCAGUCAACAAGCAGCUCCUGGGCUACGUGGGGGACAGUCAGGGGCUUCACAGGGCUCCUCCUUUCCCCCUCGGACUGAAGUUCCCACAAGACCUCCGUAAGUCCCAGUGCCUGGAGUUCACAGAGAUCAUUUGCAUGCGAGGGGCGUUUGUCCAAAGGAAGAGACUCCGGGGUUUGGGGUCUCUUGUGCUGAAACGUGGGGUUGGUGAUUUGAGAAUGGCCAAAGCACAGUUUGUCAGUCAGGAAUCCUCCCUCUCUUCCUCCCUCCUGCUGUGCUCAAGGCUGGCUUCCUCAACCAGGCAGCACAGCUUCCCCCACAGAUUUUCUUCAGCUGUUGAAAGAAAAUAUUUCUCCCAUUUUUCUUAAUCAGAGAUUCACUGGAAACAUUUUAACUUUUCUGAAGUCCAGUCCGAGAAAUAUACUGCGCACUGAACAUUCCAGUCCCGCUUGCUGCACUUGGCAAACUGCUGAGCAAUUGGAAGAGGCUCAGCAGGUGAAAGGUUGAAUGUCCCAAGUGCAAUUGCCCGUGUUACCUGCACUGUUUAGAGACCAAACACGGCAUAUCCAGCAGCUGACUCACCGUGUUCCCUCUCUUCCCCGGUCUCCAGCUGAUAGCUCCAUCUCACUGACUGCCAGCAGCGAGGAAUUUGGCUUGCCAUGCUUUGAAUCUGUCAUUUCAUCAACUUCCUCCUGCUACUCCUGUGACCUUGGAGAAGAAGGGGCAGCCUGGCAUCAACCAGCACAACUCCUCAGAGUCCAGAAAGCGCAGCAAGAUGGUAAUGGGUACCCAGUUAUGCACAGAGGGGUUCUGGUAGGACAUCAGGUGAGCUCUUCCCGAAUGGCAGCCUCCCAGCCAAGCCCUACUAGGCUGUUUCUUGGAGUGAACACCCUCCAGAGGCCAGGAGUUCAGGACAUCCUGGGAUUCUGGGUGCAAUUUGCCACAAGCCCCGGCUCUUCUUGUGUGCUGUGAGGAAAAAGGCACUAAGCUUGCCGCUGCCCUUUGCCAGGGCUGCAAGGACAUUUGGACUCUGUCCCCGGGAUGAACUUGCAGAGGAUAUCCCCAGGCGUGGUGCAAGGAGGAGAAGUCUUGAGGGGGCCUGCGGGCGCGCUGCUGGGGCUGCAAGGGCAGGGCUCACCUUUGGGAAGGCGCCGCUUCCCUGUGGAUGCAGAGUGCCACCUACUGAGCCACCGCUCCUCCCGGCGGCACCCGGGCUUUUCCGGCAGGACAGCCAGGCUGGAGCUGCUGCCCGGGGAGUCCUUGCUCUGGCUGUUCCAUGAGGAUGGGCCCAGGGAACAGGGAGCUGCCCCAAGGGCUGGUGAGACCAACUGGCUGCAGCUCACAGAUAAGCAGGGAGCCUGUGCAGGGGGCUGCAUGCUCGGGCACGGAUCUUGGCACCUGCCCUGAGCCAGAGCUGGAUUUCCACAGGCUGGCAGGGAAGUGAGAGGAGAUGGGCACAGGAGCCCGGCUAGUCCUCCCUGGGCCUCGACCAUCACUUUGAAAUCCUUCAGCACAGACUGGGCUCAGACAGCACCUGGCAGCAGCCAGUGCAGGUGACAUUGGUGAUAUCUCUUUGCCCCUCUGAUCCCUGUCCUUGUUGGUGGGAUAGGGGGUGGCCAGCACACAGCCAUCGCUUCCCAGCUGUGCAGGGAUGAUCCAGAGCACAGGCUGGACUCGUGGAGGAGCAGUGCCACCCAUGCUGACAGCUGCUGGGCCUCGGCGGAGCGCACUUGGACAUCAUUUCUUCCAGGAGACUCUGAGUGCCUACUGGGAUCUUAUUCACUCUCUUUACUUUUGAUAAAACCCCAGAGAAAUGCGUGAAGAGAAAGGAACUAUCUGCAACACCAUCCCAUUAAUUUUCUUCUCUGACAUCAAAUGUUUAUUUUGGAAGGGCGGGCACAGCUGACCUGGUGUUUGAACAUGAGUUAUCCUUUCUCAUCCAUCCACCUGAGAACAGGUGGAAAAGGGUAAUGACUCAAACCGGAGUGGUGUCUGUCUGGGCAGUUCAGCAGACUUUCACUUCACUUGUGAGCUGCAGACACCACUAUCUGCUGCUAUCAGCAGCUCCCUCACAGGCAGGGAGGGAGCUUUGAAGUGAGGCAUGUGUGACUCCAGUUCCUGCUGAUGUAAAUCGAGAUUGCUGUGAUAAAGAGCAUGCAAGUGCAUAGCCAGGCUGUUGGGGAGGAAGGAAGGGAAAGGCCUGGAUAUUGCCUUUCUGGAUAUUGGUAGUUUGUUGGCCUCUGAGACAUGCAGGUGUUGAGGUGGCUGUGCCUCCCUGCUGAGAAAGCCCUUUAGCAAAGGAUCAUUUUCCUAAGAUGGUGACAUUCUCCCUGUGCUCCGCUCCUUUCCUGGAUACUUAACUGAAGCAGGGAUCACAUGAGCAAAACUUGUCCAGAAAGGGAAUAAUUUAUGCACUGUUCCCCCAGGAAAGUCUGCCCAGUGCUCUGACUCUGCAUUUGAGCAUGUCUAAGGAGGAAAAACCAAAAGAACACAAUCUGCUGGCCUUGCGAUGACAAGACUCGGUGGGAUUUUCUGACAGUUAUAUCAAUUCAAAUAUAAAAACAGACCCUCCUGAAAACCUAAGGGGUACCUUCUCAAACAACUUCAGCUCCAGGGACACAGAGCACUCCUGCUCCAUCCGAUGAAACACGCAGCAGCGCUAAGCAGCGUGAUGCGACCAAAUCGCAGCAGUGGGGUUUUACACCUGCUUUCCAAAGGCUUUCCUGGGUAGCAGGCAAUGGGGGAGGCAGCCUGAUCAUUUCAAAAUGCCCUGUGCCGUGUUGUGGCUCCAGUGCUGCCCCUCACUGGCUCUAGGAAGAGCUCAGCAGGAUGUGCCCAGCUCGGUUUUGAUUCAGGGAUGGGGUAACGUGCUGCAAGCCUGCCCAGCACAGCCAUCCUGCCGCCCGCUGUUAGCACACUGUCCUGGCCUUCAGCUGCUCUGGUUUUCACACAGCGUGCACUGAACAGCUCUCCUUUGACCCAACACAUCCUCCAGCACUCACCCACUCGUUUUUGUGCAAUGGCCCAACCUGCAAAUGCUUGGGGGCACCUCCUGACCCCAGCAGUAAUUUUAAGGGCCUGAAGCCAGGACGUGGGUGAAGCAAUAGUGGAUUUACACUAGAAUGGGGAGCUGUCCCUCAGCUAAGAAUCCUCUUCUCUAAAAAUACCACGUCCUGCCAUGCUGCACUGAAAAUUGCUGCCUUUUCUUCCAUUUCCCUGAGGCAAUUCACAGGAACUUCUCCCAGGACUCUCUGAAGAGGGCAGGCUGGUGCCUAUCCCCACGUGCACCCCAAGCCAGGCUCCCCAGGGGUACCCCAGUGCAAACUGGGAACAGAAGAACUGGACAGAAGGGGGAAGAUGCUUUAGAUAGGAACCUCUAGGGACACAAAGGCUCUGUUGUUGGAGCCAGUGCCUGACACUCCUUUACCUGGCAACAUUACUGCAGCCCUUUACUUUAAGAAUGACAGUGCUUCACCUGCAGUGCACGUUACUUUACGUAUUCAGCUUACCACACCACUCCAGUGUUGAGCACACUCAUCCCAUCACCUCUCUAACUCCAGUAUUGCAGCCCGGAGCAGUGCCUGGCAGAGGAGAGCACCCAAAGGUGUGUGGAGCCACUGGAUCAUUCUGCAAGGGCUCAAAAAGUCCUCAUUCUAAAGAGAAGAGGAAAAAAAAUGUUAAAAUGUGAAGCAGAAGAUAGCAGAAGCUGUGUGACUACUGUUCACUGAUUUUGGAGUUCUCCCAGCUCAAUCCCAGGAUGCACUGACUUGGAGACCAUGUGUAGUUAUGUGGGCAGGGUGGCUGCUGCAAAAAUGAUGCCUACACUUGGGAAAAUAGAGAUGUUGUUGCCCUAGUGUCUUAGAGACUGAGCUGAAAAAGAGCCAGAGGAGAAAUCUUCAAAUGAAGAAAAGCCUCCCCAAACCAGAACGCCACUGUAUGGUUGUACAGACAGAGUGGCAACAAUCUGGGCUUGCCUUGAAGGCUCUUGGCUGAGUUUGUUAUAUCCCUUCCCUCACCUUGGGGGCUGGGGUAUGAACUCACUGGGAGAUGUCUAUCACAGCUCAUCUGACAGCACAGACCCUGUGAGCUAAUUAUACAGUACUGCCUCUUCUGGGGGAGCCCAGCCUCACAUAAGGACUGGGAGCAUGUGAUGGGGAUUGAGAUAUUUCCCUGCUACCUUGCUCAUUAUUUCCAGUUGUGCCCAGAGCAGCAGAGAAAUAAAGGACAUGUGAGGAUUGUUUGGGAAUUUCCUCCUGGAAGUGCAGCUUAAGUCUUAGCUUUCUUGC
Cyanistes caeruleus (blue tit) is the source of this 4736-nucleotide long non-coding RNA. RefSeq lists it as uncharacterized. The record is from RefSeq and is a predicted model, not a curated record. Lineage: Eukaryota; Metazoa; Chordata; Aves; Passeriformes; Paridae.